This 497-nucleotide ribosomal RNA is filed under the name uncultured bacterium. RNAcentral describes it as "partial 16S ribosomal RNA". It matches the Rfam family "Bacterial small subunit ribosomal RNA", at positions 28 to 507 of the family's 1533-position model. The record is from RNAcentral.
GACGAACGCUGGCGGCGUGCCUAAUACAUGCAAGUCGAACGCUGAGACUCAGCUCUUGCUGCUCGGACGUUUGCGGCACACGUGAGUGUCACGCGUGUAACACCUCCCUAUCUUUCGGAUAUAACUUCGAGACGCCGGAUCAUAUACGGUAUUAUCUGUUGAUCCGCAUGGUGCCGUAGUGAAAGACGUUUUUGCUGUCACUUAUACAUGGAUCCGUGCCGCAUGUGCUAGUUGGUAAGGUCACGGCUUACCUUGGCGGCUAUGCGUCGCCGACUUGAGAGGGUGAUCGGCCACACUGGAACUGAGACACGGUCCAGACGCCUACGGGAGGCAGCGGUGGGGAAGCUUGCGCAAUGGGCGAAAGCCUGACGGAGCAACGCCGCGUGAGUGAGGAAGGUCUUCGGAUCGUAAAACUGUGUUAUUAGGGAAGAACAAAUGUGUAAGUAACUAUGCACGUCUUGACGGUACUUAAUCAGAAAGCCACGGCUAACUACGUG